RNAcentral lists this ribosomal RNA (433 nucleotides) under uncultured bacterium. RNAcentral describes it as "partial 16S ribosomal RNA". It matches the Rfam family "Bacterial small subunit ribosomal RNA", at positions 29 to 507 of the family's 1533-position model. The record is from RNAcentral.
AACGAACGCUGGCGGCAUGCCUAACACAUGCAAGUCGAACGAGACCUUCGGGUCUAGUGGCGCACGGGUGCGUAACGCGUGGGAACCUGCCCUUAGGUUCGGAAUAACUCCCCGAAAGGGGUGCUAAUACCGGAUAAUGUCUUCGGACCAAAGAUUUAUCGCCUUUGGAUGGGCCCGCGUUGGAUUAGCUAGUUGGUAGGGUAAAAGCCUACCAAGGCGACGAUCCAUAGCUGGUCUGAGAGGAUGAUCAGCCACACUGGGACUGAGACACGGCCCAGACUCCUACGGGAGGCAGCAGUGGGGAAUAUUGGACGAUGGGCGAAAGCCUGAUCCAGCAAUGCCGCGUGAGUGAUGAAGGCCUUAGUGUUGUAAAGCUCUUUUACCCGGGAUGAUAAUGACAGUACCGGGAGAAUAAGCACCGGCUAACUCCGUG